UGACCCCCCACACGGGCACUGAGACACGGGCCCGACUCCUACGGGAGGCAGCAGUAAGGGAUAUUGCGACAAUGGGCGAAAGCCUGACGCAGCAACGCCGCGUGGAGGAUGAAGGCCUUCGGGUUGUAAACUCCUUUUCUGUGGGAAGAGGAAUGACGGUACCACAGGAAGAAGUCUCGGCUAACUACGUGCCAGCAGCCGCGGUAAAACGUAGGAGGCGAGCGUUAUCCGUGAUUACUGGGUGUAAAGCGCGUGCAGGCGGCUUGGUAAGUCGAGCGUGAAAGCUCCCGGCUCAACCGGGAGAGGACGUGCGAAACUGCGAGGCUAGAGACAGGUAGAGGCGUACGGAAUUCCGGGUGUAGUGGUGAAAUGCGUAGAUAUCCGGAGGAACACCAGUGACGAAGGCGGUACGCUGGGCCUGGUCUGACGCUAAGACGCGAAAGCAUGGGGAGCGAACGGGAUUAGAAACCCCGGUAGUCCAUGCCGUAAACGAUGCUAACUAGGUGUUGCGGGUAAAAGACCGGCAGUGCCGGAGUUAACGCGAUAAGUUAGCCACCUGGGGACUACGGUCGCAAGGCUAAAACUCAAAGGAAUUGACGGGGGCCCGCACAAGCAGCGGAGCGUGUGGUUUAAUUCGAGGCUACACGAAGAACCUUACCUGGGCUUGACAUGACGGUGGUAGGGAACCGAAAGGGGACCGACCUUCGGGAGCCGUCACAGGUGCUGCAUGGCUGUCGUCAGCUCGUGUCGUGAGAUGUUCGGUUAAGUCCGGUAACGAGCGCAACCCUCAUCGCUAGUUACAAGUGUCUAGCGAGACUGCCCGUUCAACGCGGGAGGAAGGCGGGGAUGACGUCAAGUCAGCAUGGCCUUUAUGUCCAGGGCUACACACACGCUACAAUGGCCGGUACAAUGGGUCGCCAACCCGCGAGGGGGAGCCAAUCCACCAAAGCCGGUCACAGUUCGAAUUGCAGGCUGCAACCCGCCUGCAUGAAGUCGGAGUUGCUAGUAACCGCAGGUCAGCUAUACUGCGGUGAUACGUUCCCGGGCCUUGUACACACCGCCCGUCACGUCAUGGGAGCUGGUCAUGCCUGAAGUCGGUGAGCCAACCGCAAGGUAGGCAGCCGCCUAAGGCAGGGCUGGUGACUGGGACGAAGU
This 1155-nucleotide ribosomal RNA is filed under the name uncultured organism. Its description in RNAcentral is "bacterial SSU rRNA". It matches the Rfam family "Bacterial small subunit ribosomal RNA", at positions 301 to 1486 of the family's 1533-position model. The record is from RNAcentral.